Molecule: ribosomal RNA, 496 nt
Filed under: Gallotia atlantica (Atlantic lizard)
Lineage: Eukaryota; Metazoa; Chordata; Lepidosauria; Squamata; Lacertidae
Description: partial 16S ribosomal RNA
Rfam family: Bacterial large subunit ribosomal RNA
Source: RNAcentral
GUGAUAUUUUUAAACGGCCGCGGUAUCCUAACCGUGCAAAGGUAGCAUAAUCACUUGUCCCCUAAAUAGGGACUAGUAUGAACGGCUAAAUGAGGACUUUACUGUCUCUUGCCGCCAGUCAAUGAAACUGAUCUUCCAGUUCAAAAGCUGGAAUAACAUCAUAAGACAAAAAGACCCUGUGGAGCUUUUAAACCAAAACCACCAAAAAUUGUCCACUUGGUUUUUAGUUGGGGCGACUUCGGGGUAAAACCAAACCCCCGAAACAAUGGAACCUACCAUAUUAAGGCCAACACGCCAAAAUAAUUUAAAACUUGACCCAGAUCUUCUAAUUUAUCUGACCAAUGAACCAAGUUACCCCAGGGAUAACAGCGCCAUCUUCUUUUAGAGUCCAUAUCGACAAGAAGGUUUACGACCUCGAUGUUGGAUCAGGACACCCCAAUAGUGCAGCCGCUAUUAACGGUUCGUUUGUUCAACGAUUAAUAGUCCUACGUGAUCU